Molecule: long non-coding RNA, 640 nt
Filed under: Geospiza fortis (medium ground-finch)
Lineage: Eukaryota; Metazoa; Chordata; Aves; Passeriformes; Thraupidae
Description: lncRNA (ENSGFOG00000003062.1)
Source: RNAcentral
AUAGUAUAUAUAUACUACUGUAGUAUUAUAAAUAAUAUAGUAUAUAUAAUAUAUAAGUAUUAUAAGUAUAUUAAUACAUAUAAUAAAAUACAAUUUAUAAACAUAAAACAAAUAAUAUAAAAUAAUAUAACAUACAAUAAAAUAAUGAUAACUGCGUUAACAUCAGGAUAAUUCACAAACCGCAGUACAAAGCAGUGAAUAAAGCAAAGAGUUCAGAAUGAUUUCUGUCAGCGCGGUGCUGAGGCAGCCCCUCCCCGCAGGCCUGGGCGUGGAAGGAGAACAUUCUGGAAGCGGGGACGCUGGAGCGCUACACGGUGGAGAGGAGCAACACGGGCAGCGGCGUCCUGUCCACGCUGACCAUCAACAACGUCAUGGACGCCGACUUCCAGACGCGCUACAACUGCACGGCCUGGAACAGCUUCGGGCCCGGCACGGCCAUCAUCCAGCUCGAGGAGAGAGAGGUGCUGCCCGUGGGCAUCAUCGCCGGCGCCACCAUCGGCGCCAGCGUCCUCCUCAUCAGCUGCCUGCUGGCCCUGGCCUGCUUCCUCUACCGGCGCCGCAAAGGAAGCCGCAAGGACGUCACGCUGCGCAAGCUGGACAUCAAGGUGGAGACGGUGAACCGGGAGCCGCUGACGCUGGC